RNAcentral lists this ribosomal RNA (118 nucleotides) under uncultured bacterium. Its description in RNAcentral is "partial 16S ribosomal RNA". It matches the Rfam family "Bacterial small subunit ribosomal RNA", at positions 1384 to 1500 of the family's 1533-position model. The record is from RNAcentral.
UACACACCGCCCGUCACGCCAUGGGAGUGGGGUGCACCAGAAGUAGGUAGGCUAACCGCAAGGAGGCCGCCUACCACGGUACGCUUCAUGACUGGGGUGAAGUCGUAAACAAGGUACC